UCGGCCCCGGUUCACGCGCGUGCAUUCCGCCCGUGCGACCCGGAGCC
Molecule: non-coding RNA, 47 nt
Organism: Streptomyces tsukubensis NRRL18488
Lineage: Bacteria; Bacillati; Actinomycetota; Actinomycetes; Kitasatosporales; Streptomycetaceae
Source: Rfam